AAACCAACAGGGAUUGCCCCAGUAACGGCGAGUGAAGCGGCAACAGCUCAAAUUUGAAAUCUGGCCCCCCGGCCCGAGUUGUAAUUUGGAGAGGAUGCUUCUGGCGCGGCGCCGUCCGAGUUCCUUGGAACAGGACGCCACAGAGGGUGAGAGCCCCGUACGGACGGACGCCUAGCCUCUACGAAGCUCCUUCGACGAGUCGAGUAGUUUGGGAAUGCUGCUCAAAAUGGGAGGUAAAUUUCUUCUAAAGCUAAAUACCGGCCAGAGACCGAUAGCGCACAAGUAGAGUGAUCGAAAGAUGAAAAGCACUUUGAAAAGAGGGUUAAAAAGUACGUGAAAUUGUUGAAAGGGAAGCGCCUGUGACCAGACUUGCGCCCCGCGGACCACCCGGCGUUCUCGCCGGUGCACUCCGCGGGGUGCAGGCCAGCAUCGGUUCUCCCAGGGGGACAAAGGCCGCGGGAACGUAGCUCCUCCGGGAGUGUUAUAGCCCGCGGCGGCAUGCCCCUGGGGGGACCGAGGACCGCGCUUCGGCAAGGAUGCUGGCGUAAUGGUCACCAGCGAC
Molecule: ribosomal RNA, 562 nt
Filed under: Sporothrix nigrograna
Lineage: Eukaryota; Fungi; Ascomycota; Sordariomycetes; Ophiostomatales; Ophiostomataceae
Description: LSU rRNA
Rfam family: Eukaryotic large subunit ribosomal RNA
Source: RNAcentral